Molecule: long non-coding RNA, 312 nt
Filed under: Anas platyrhynchos platyrhynchos (common mallard)
Lineage: Eukaryota; Metazoa; Chordata; Aves; Anseriformes; Anatidae
Description: lncRNA (ENSAPLG00000025564.1)
Source: RNAcentral
GAAACCUACUUGCAGCAUAGCUAAGUAAGUGCUUAAAUAAAGCUCAUAAGCCAAAGGGCAGUGAGAGGUUCCAGGUGAGGCCAUUCAGUCAGGUCAUGACAAAUUCCUUCAUUUGUGGCAUCCUUGUAUUAAUAGCAGACCUACAGGGAAGCUGUCAGGACACCGACACAGUGUUUUAGAAUUGAGACAAAUGAAAAACAUCAGCAUGUUAUCGGCCUUUCUUCUGCAAAGGUAAAAUUGUUUCCUUAACUUCAUGGAAAUCAAUGUUAUAAACGCAAGUCGUAAUGUGUUUUUGAGUAAGUAUCUCUGGUA